UUGACCUCGGAUCAGGUAGGGAUACCCGCUGAACUUAAGCAUAUCAAUAAGCGGAGGAAAAGAAACCAACCGGGAUUGCCUCAGUAACGGCGAGUGAAGCGGCAAGAGCUCAAAUUUGAAAGCUGGCCCCUUCGGGGUCCGCGUUGUAAUUUGCAGAGGAUGCUUCGGGUGCGGCCCCUGUCUAAGUGCCCUGGAACGGGCCGUCAGAGAGGGUGAGAAUCCCGUCUUGGGCAGGGUGCCCGUGCCCGUGUGAAGCUCCUUCGACGAGUCGAGUUGUUUGGGAAUGCAGCUCUAAAUGGGUGGUAAAUUUCAUCUAAAGCUAAAUACCGGCCGGAGACCGAUAGCGCACAAGUAGAGUGAUCGAAAGAUGAAAAGCACUUUGAAAAGAGAGUUAAACAGCACGUGAAAUUGUUGAAAGGGAAGCGCUUGCGACCAGACUCGGCCCCGGGGUUCAGCCAGCACUCGUGCUGGUGUACUUCCCCGGGGGCGGGCCAGCGUCGGUUUGGGCGGCCGGUCAAAGGCCCCAGGAAUGUAUCGCCCUCCGGGGUUGUCUUAUAGCCUGGGGUGCAAUGCGGCCAGCCCGGACCGAGGAACGCGCUUCGGCACGGACGCUGGCGUAAUGGUCGCAAACGACC
Molecule: ribosomal RNA, 635 nt
Filed under: Aspergillus quadrilineatus
Lineage: Eukaryota; Fungi; Ascomycota; Eurotiomycetes; Eurotiales; Aspergillaceae
Also listed under: 6 other names
Description: eukaryotic LSU rRNA
Rfam family: Eukaryotic large subunit ribosomal RNA
Source: RNAcentral